This 1200-nucleotide ribosomal RNA is filed under the name Lutimonas halocynthiae. RNAcentral describes it as "bacterial SSU rRNA". It matches the Rfam family "Bacterial small subunit ribosomal RNA", at positions 70 to 1267 of the family's 1533-position model. The record is from RNAcentral. Lineage: Bacteria; Pseudomonadati; Bacteroidota; Flavobacteriia; Flavobacteriales; Flavobacteriaceae.
AACAGGGUUUAGUUUACUANACUGCUGACGACCGGCGCACGGGUGAGUAACGCGUAUACAAUUUGCCUUUUACUGGAGGAUAGCCAAGAGAAAUUUUGAUUAAUACUCCAUAGUAUUAUUAGAUCACCUGAUUUGAUAAUUAAAGUUCCGGCGGUAAAAGAUGAGUAUGCGUCCUAUUAGCUAGAUGGUAAGGUAACGGCUUACCAUGGCGACGAUAGGUAGGGGUCCUGAGAGGGAGAUCCCCCACACUGGUACUGAGACACGGACCAGACUCCUACGGGAGGCAGCAGUGAGGAAUAUUGGGCAAUGGAGGCAACUCUGACCCAGCCAUGCCGCGUGCAGGAAGACGGCCCUAUGGGUUGUAAACUGCUUUUAUACAGGAAGAAACUUACCCACGUGUGGGUAACUGACGGUACUGUAAGAAUAAGGACCGGCUAACUCCGUGCCAGCAGCCGCGGUAAUACGGAGGGUCCAAGCGUUAUCCGGAAUCAUUGGGUUUAAAGGGUCCGUAGGCGGGCAAUUAAGUCAGAGGUGAAAUCCCACAGCUCAACUGUGGAACUGCCUUUGAUACUGGUUGUCUUGAGUUAUAGUGAAGUAGAUAGAAUAUGUAGUGUAGCGGUGAAAUGCAUAGAUAUUACAUAGAAUACCGAUUGCGAAGGCAGUCUACUAACUGUAUACUGACGCUAAUGGACGAAAGCGUGGGGAGCGAACAGGAUUAGAUACCCUGGUAGUCCACGCCGUAAACGAUGGUCACUAGUUGUUGGGGUCUUGUACCUCAGUGAUUAAGAGAAAUUGAUAAGUGACCCACCUGGGGAGUACGAUCGCAAGAUUGAAACUCAAAGGAAUUGACGGGGGCCCGCACAAGCGGUGGAGCAUGUGGUUUAAUUCGAUGAUACGCGAGGAACCUUACCAGGGCUUAAAUGUAAGUUGCAUGAUUUAGAGAUAGAUCUUUCUUCGGACUACUUACAAGGUGCUGCAUGGUUGUCGUCAGCUCGUGCCGUGAGGUGUCAGGUUAAGUCCUAUAACGAGCGCAACCCCUACCGUUAGUUGCCAGCAUGUUAUGAUGGGGACUCUAGCGGGACUGCCGGUGCAAACCGAGAGGAAGGUGGGGAUGACGUCAAAUCAUCACGGCCCUUACGUCCUGGGCUACACACGUGCUACAAUGGUAACGACAGAGGGCAGCCACCCCGCGAGGGGGAG